RNAcentral lists this ribosomal RNA (497 nucleotides) under uncultured bacterium. Its description in RNAcentral is "partial 16S ribosomal RNA". It matches the Rfam family "Bacterial small subunit ribosomal RNA", at positions 28 to 507 of the family's 1533-position model. The record is from RNAcentral.
GACGAACGCUGGCGGCGUGCCUAAUACAUGCAAGUCGAGCGAACAGACGAGGCGCUUGCUCGUUUCACGAUAGGCGCGGACGUGUGAGUAACACGUGGAUCAUCUCCCUAUCUGACUGGGAUCACUUGGGGAAUCCGGAGCUAAUCCCGGAUAAUCUCUUGAUCCGCAUGGUUCAAUGGUGAAAGACGGUUUUGCUGUCUCUUAUCGAUGGAUACGCGCCGCAUUAGGUGGUGGGUAAGGUAACGGCUUACGACGGCAACAAGGCGUAACCGACCUGGGAGGGUGAUCGGCCACACGGGAACGUGGACACGCACCAUGGGCCUACGGUAGGCAGCAGUAGGGAAUCUGCGGCAAUGGUCGAAAGCCUGACGGAGCAAGGCGGCGGGAGAUAUGAAGGUCUUGGGAGCGUAAUACUCGGUUUUUAGGGAAGAACAAAUGUGGAAUUAACUGUGCACGGCGUGACGGUACCUAAUCAGAAAGCCACGGCUAACUACGUG